AUUUAAAUAGUUUAUAUAAAAUAUUGAUUUGUGGGAUCAAAGAAAUUGAAAAAUUUUAAAUA
RNAcentral lists this transfer RNA (62 nucleotides) under Donacia distincta. RNAcentral describes it as "tRNA-His". The record is from RNAcentral. Lineage: Eukaryota; Metazoa; Arthropoda; Insecta; Coleoptera; Chrysomelidae.